UGUAUCCACUACUGUAAGUCACUCUGGAUAAGAGUGUCUGCUAAAUGACUAAAA
This is a non-coding RNA of Salmo salar (Atlantic salmon), 54 nucleotides long. NCBI's taxonomy places the organism in Eukaryota, Metazoa, Chordata, Actinopteri, Salmoniformes, Salmonidae. The record is from Rfam.